AAUGUGAGAAAUCGCGACGGGGGGAUCCCAAGUGCCAUUCUUAACGGGAUGGCUUUUCAUUAGUGUAAAGAGCUUUUGGAAUAAGAGCUGGGCAAGACCGGUGCCAGCCGCCGCGGUAACACCGGCAGCUCUAGUGGUAGCAAUUUUUAUUGGGCCUAAAGCGUCCGUAGCCGGUUUAAUAAGUCUCUGGUGAAAUCCUGCAGCUUAACUGUGGGAAUUGCUGGAGAUACUAUUAGACUUGAGACCGGGAGAGGUUAGAGGUACUCCCAGGGUAGAGGUGAAAUUCUGUAAUCCUGGGAGGACCGCCUGUUGCGAAGGCGUCUAACUGGAACGGUUCUGACGGUGAGGGACGAAAGUUAGGGGCGCGAACCGGAUUAGAUACCCGGGUAGUCCUAACUGUAAACGAUGCGGACUUGGUGUUGGGGUGGCUUUGAGCUGCUUCAGUGCCGAAGGGAAGCUGUUAAGUCCGCCGCCUGGGAAGUACGGUCGCAAGACUGAAACUUAA
This 505-nucleotide ribosomal RNA is filed under the name uncultured archaeon. Its description in RNAcentral is "bacterial SSU rRNA". It matches the Rfam family "Archaeal small subunit ribosomal RNA", at positions 354 to 859 of the family's 1478-position model. The record is from RNAcentral.